Molecule: ribosomal RNA, 399 nt
Filed under: uncultured bacterium
Lineage: Bacteria
Description: partial 16S ribosomal RNA
Rfam family: Bacterial small subunit ribosomal RNA
Source: RNAcentral
AAUAUUGGACAAUGGGCGCAAGCCUGAUCCAGCCAUGCCGCGUGAGUGACGAAGGUCUUCGGAUUGUAAAGCUCUUUUGGCGGGGAAGAUAAUGACGGUACCCGCAGAAUAAGCCCCGGCUAACUUCGUGCCAGCAGCCGCGGUAAUACGAAGGGGGCUAGCGUUGUUCGGAAUCACUGGGCGUAAAGCGCACGUAGGCGGAUGUGCCAGUCAGGGGUGAAAUCCCGGAGCUCAACUUCGGAACUGCCUCUGAUACAGCACGUCUUGAGUCCGGAAGAGGUGGGUGGAAUUCCUAGUGUAGAGGUGAAACUCGUGGAUAUUAGGAAGAACACCGGUGGCGAAGGCGGCCCACUGGUCCGGUACUGACGCUGAGGUGCGAAAGCGUGGGGAGCAAACAGG